This 499-nucleotide ribosomal RNA is filed under the name uncultured bacterium. RNAcentral's name for it is "partial 16S ribosomal RNA". It matches the Rfam family "Bacterial small subunit ribosomal RNA", at positions 30 to 523 of the family's 1533-position model. The record is from RNAcentral.
AUUGAACGCUGGCGGCAUGCCUUACACAUGCAAGUCGAACGGUAACAGGUCUUCGGAUGCUGACGAGUGGCGAACGGGUGAGUAAUACAUCGGAACGUGCCUAGUAGUGGGGGGAUAACUACUCGAAAGAGUGGCUAAUACCGCAUGAGAUCUACGGAUGAAAGCAGGGGAUCGCAAGACCUUGUGCUACUAGAGCGGCCGAUGGCAGAUUAGGUAGUUGGUGGGAUAAAAGCUUACCAAGCCGACGAUCUGUAGCUGGUCUGAGAGGACGAUUAGCCCGACGGGGACUGAGACACGGCCCAGCCUCCUACGGGAGGCAGCAGUGGGGAAUUUUGGACAAUGGGCGAAAGCCUGAUCCAGCAAUGCCGCGUGCAGGAUGAAGGCCUUCGGGUUGUAAACUGCUUUUGUACGGAACGAAAAGCCCCGGGUUAAUACCCUGGGGUCAUGACGGUACCGUAAGAAUAAGCACCGACUAACUACGUGCCAGCAGCCGCGGUAA